UCUUUUUUUUUUUUCUUCCCUCUACUUUUUCUUCUUUUCCAAAGAAAAGGUAGAAAUAAAGUGAUGCUCUUUUCUCACCUAUUUCCCUCUUCAUUUUCUACCUUUCCAAUCAUGGCAUGACUCAUGAGGAUCAUAAGAUAAAAAUAAGAGUAGCGAAUGUUGUUUUAAAACUUCCUAUUGGUGUGCAUGAGUGGAAAAAUGUAUUUUUCUACAAGUAUGACCAAUUAGUUUAAAGAGAGGUUAUAGCUAAUUUAUUAGGUGAAAUAAAAAUUUUAGAAUUUUUGCUCAUUUGAUUUAUUUUAUUACAAGCAAAGUGAAAUAGACUCACAAUGCUCCAGAGUACACAGUAGGA
RNAcentral lists this unclassified non-coding RNA (352 nucleotides) under Hevea brasiliensis (rubber tree). The record is from RNAcentral. Lineage: Eukaryota; Viridiplantae; Streptophyta; Magnoliopsida; Malpighiales; Euphorbiaceae.